GCCCGGCUAGCUCAGGCGGUAGAGCAUGAGACUCUUAAUCUCAGGGUCAUGGGUUCAAGCCCCACGUUGGGUG
Non-coding RNA from Aptenodytes forsteri (emperor penguin), 73 nucleotides. The record is from Rfam. Lineage: Eukaryota; Metazoa; Chordata; Aves; Sphenisciformes; Spheniscidae.